This 497-nucleotide ribosomal RNA is filed under the name uncultured bacterium. RNAcentral describes it as "partial 16S ribosomal RNA". It matches the Rfam family "Bacterial small subunit ribosomal RNA", at positions 28 to 507 of the family's 1533-position model. The record is from RNAcentral.
GACGAACGCUGGCGGCGUGCCUAAUACAUGCAAGUUGAGCGCUGAAGGUUGGUACUUGUACCGACUGGAUGAGCAGCGAACGGGUGAGUAACGCGUGGGGAAUCUGCCUUUGAGCGGGGGACAACAUUUGGAAACGAAUGCUAAUACCGCAUAAAAACUUUAAACACAAGUUUUAAGUUUGAAAGAUGCAAUUGCAUCACUCAAAGAUGAUCCCGCGUUGUAUUAGCUAGUUGGUGAGGUAAAGGCUCACCAAGGCGAUGAUACAUAGCCGACCUGAGAGGGUGAUCGGCCACAUUGGGACUGAGACACGGCCCAAACGCCUACGGGAGGCAGCAGUAGGGAAUCUUCGGCAAUGGACGAAAGUCUGACCGAGCAACGCCGCGUGAGUGAAGAAGGUUUUCGGAUCGUAAAACUCUGUUGGUAGAGAAGAACGUUGGUGAGAGUGGAAAGCUCAUCAAGUGACGGUAACGACCCAGAAAGGGACGGCUAACUACGUG